CGGGGGCUGCUUCCAUGCAGUCGAACGGCAGCACGGGUGCUUGCCCUGGUGGCGAGUGGCAAAGGGGUGUAAUAUACCUCAGAACGUGUCCUGUAGUGGGGGAUACCCCGGCAAAAGCCAUUUUAAUACCGCACACUAUCUAUGGAUGAAAGCGGGAGAUCUUCGCCCCUCGCUCUAGAGGGGCGGCCGAUGGCAGAUUAUCUAUUUGGUGGGGUAAAGGCUCACCAGGGACAAUAUCCAUAUCUGGUCAGAGAAGAACACCCCCCACUCUGGCUCUGACACACCCCCCACACUCCUACGGGAGGCAACUGUGGAGAUUUUUGGACUGUGGGGGAAACCCUGAUCCCACUGUGCCGCGUGUGUGAAAAGCGUCUUCGUUUUGUAAAGCUUUUUUGUCCAGAAAAAAAUCCUGAUGGCUAAUAUCCGUCGGAGAUGACUGCCCCAGAAAAAUACACCCCGUCUAUCUACGUGCCCACCCCCGCGGAUAUACAUAGGGUGCACGCUUUAAUCAAAAUUACUGGGCGUAAAGCGUGCGCGCGCUGUGAUGUAAGACAUAUGUGAUAUCCGCGGUCUUACUGUGAGCUCUGCAUUGGAGACUGCAUCUCUAGAGUAUGGCAGAGGGGUGUAGAACUCCACGUGUAGCAGUGAUGUGCAUAGAGAUGUGGGGUACACCUAUCGCGAGCGCAGCCCCUGCCACUAUACUGACUCUCAUGCGCAACGCGUGAGAGCAACAGAUUAUAUACUGUGAUACUCACGCUCUACAUAUGUCAGUGGUUGUGGAUAUUCAUCUCAUAUCACGAUCUACGCGUGAUGUCAGCGUGUGGGUGUACUGUCACAUAUACUCUAGAUA
Molecule: ribosomal RNA, 850 nt
Filed under: Burkholderiales bacterium SXAU-SK-2
Lineage: Bacteria; Pseudomonadati; Pseudomonadota; Betaproteobacteria; Burkholderiales
Description: bacterial SSU rRNA
Rfam family: Bacterial small subunit ribosomal RNA
Source: RNAcentral